RNAcentral lists this ribosomal RNA (467 nucleotides) under uncultured bacterium. RNAcentral's name for it is "partial 16S ribosomal RNA". It matches the Rfam family "Bacterial small subunit ribosomal RNA", at positions 28 to 506 of the family's 1533-position model. The record is from RNAcentral.
GACGAACGCUGGCGGCGUGCUUAACACAUGCAAGUCGAACGGAAAGGCCCUGCUUUUGUGGGGUGCUCGAGUGGCGAACGGGUGAGUAACACGUGAGUAACCUGCCCUUGACUUUGGGAUAACUUCAGGAAACUGGGGCUAAUACCGGAUAGGAGCUCCUGCUGCAUGGUGGGGGUUGGAAAGUUUCGGCGGUUGGGGAUGGACUCGCGGCUUAUCAGCUUGUUGGUGGGGUAGUGGCUUACCAAGGCUUUGACGGGUAGCCGGCCUGAGAGGGUGACCGGCCACAUUGGGACUGAGAUACGGCCCAGACUCCUACGGGAGGCAGCAGUGGGGAAUAGUGCACAAUGGGCGGAAGCCUGAUGCAGCAACGCCGCGUGCGGGAUGACGGCCUUCGGGUUGUAAACCGCUUUCGCCUGUGACGAAGCGUGAGUGACGGUAAUGGGUAAAGAAGCACCGGCGAACUACGU